Nematostella vectensis (starlet sea anemone) is the source of this 72-nucleotide non-coding RNA. Lineage: Eukaryota; Metazoa; Cnidaria; Anthozoa; Actiniaria; Edwardsiidae. The record is from Rfam.
GGCUCAGUGGUCUAGUGGUAUGAUUCUCGCUUCGGGUGCGAGAGGUCACGGGUUCGAUUCCCGUCUGAGCCC